RNAcentral lists this ribosomal RNA (197 nucleotides) under uncultured bacterium. RNAcentral describes it as "partial 16S ribosomal RNA". It matches the Rfam family "Bacterial small subunit ribosomal RNA", at positions 328 to 539 of the family's 1533-position model. The record is from RNAcentral.
ACGCUCGACACCUACGGGAGGCAGCAGUGGGGAAUAUUGCACAAUGGGGGAAACCCUGAUGCAGCGACGCCGCGUGAGUGAAGAAGUAUUUCGGUAUGUAAAGCUCUAUCAGCAGGGAAGAAAAUGACGGUACCUGACUAAGAAGCCCCGGCUAACUACGUGCCACAGCCGCGGUAAUCUGAGCGGGCUGGCAAGGC